AUAUCAGCGACCACAGUCUCCCCUCUUAUCCCUUUAGCUCCUCAGUUCGAGUUUCCCGACGCGGCCCCCACCCUUAACCCCUAGCCUCCAGGGAUCCCAGACAUCCUCCCGGCUCCCUAGAGCCCUCCCCUGUUCUCAGCCCCGUUAGACCCUCCCCUCAGAGCAGAACGCGUUUGCGCUCUAUGUCCCUCCGCAGCCCCUCCACCGUCCUCUCUGCCCCCAAAGGUACCUCCCCACCUCCACUUUAGUCUCACCCCUAAGUACCCCGAAGAAAGCCAAUAUUUCCUUCUCUCCGCAGCGUCCCAGAUAUUAACCGUUCUAUCUCAAUGGUUUUCAGAUUUUAUCUUGCCUCUUGGGUACCCUUUGGGACCCUUAUGUCAUCCCCACCAUCAGGGCACCCAGACUUAACCCUAACUGCAAGUCCCAGACUCACUCUGGUCCUUAUUGAUGAGCCAGGUGUCCCUGGAGUCAAGUGGCUCACUGUCACCGAUUUCAUUCCGAGCCACCACUCUGAAGUAGUACUUCCUGCCUGGGAGCAGCCCCGUCACUGUGUACUUGUUGCUGAAGACACGCUCGGCUGCCGUGUACCAGGUGGCUGUGCUUGCAUCCCGCUUCAUGAUGAUGUAGUGAGCCUCACCGUCCUCCUGCACAUCUGGGCUGUGGUUCCAGCCAUCUGCCAAGUCCGAUGGAAGAUAAGAUGGGGCAAGUCUCAGGCAGCUGGUGUCUUGGAGUCGGAAAACUAUUUCUGAAGUCUGCUCUGCCAUUUACUAGCCUCGUGACCUGGGAUGAGGAAACUGAAGCUCAGAGGGAAAGCAGCUUGCCCAAGAUGGUGGGAGAGCUGAUAAUAAAGUGAUACUAAUCUACUGCAGAUGCUGAGUUCCAGGCACCACGCUCCACCACCUGGGCAGGUGGAUGAUUGACAUGGGUCUGCACACAGUGGGGCGACCGGCUCAAGGGAACUCACAAAGAAUUCCGCCUGCAGCAGGAAAGGGUCCAGGGCCUUUUCAUGAAGCUCUUCUGCUUGGAGGACACGGGAGGCGCUGAGCAGGUACUCGCGGGCGGACUCCUCACGUGGGGACAUGAGAUAGCCAAAGCCCUCCUCGUUGCAGCCCGGAGUGCACAUGUCCAGGGUCAGGGAGACAUUGGAACCCCUCCUGGAAGGACCAGGAAAGGGAGUGUGAGCCUCAGGGGCAGAGGGACGGGCAUGAGCUGGGGUCUCCAGGGCUGGGAAAAUGAGGGAGGGAGAGAUCAGCUGGGAACAGGGUGGGGUUGAGGAAGAGGAGUGGGAGUGUGACAAGACCCCCUGACAAAGAAGCGUGAAUCUCAGCCCUGAGGCAUUGGCCUGACUCCCUAUCUCCUGCCUCCUGCAGUGGAGAUGUUAACUUAGUGGGGAUUUGGGGCUCCAGUUCUAAAAGUUCCAUCCAAAGCUACCCCAACAUGGCCUUACCCUGGACUCUCCUCCAUCACCGUUGGAGGAAGUUCUACCCUGUGGUCCCCAGGAAGCUCAGAGAGGGGACACCUGCCUGAAGCACAGAAGCGGGGCUUGGGCCCGAGAGGAUGGCUCCAGACCCUCCCCACUGCAGUCCCGGGCCCAACAGCCCUGGGAUGAGGCUGCUGGUGAGUCAAGGACAUAUUGUCCAGGAGAGGCCAGGACCCCCGCUGUCAGGAAGGAGGGAGUCCCAGGAGCAGCACGGUGGCCGCAAGGAUGUCUACAAUGGGCAAACUCUACUAUACUCAGAGUCUCAGACACAGGACAGGAUGGGGCUUCAUUACAUAGAAAGAGAAACUGAGUCCCCAUGAAGGGCCAAGAGUUGUCCAGGCUCUCCCAGUAAGGGGGUGGCAGAGCUGAAAUAAAAAGCUAGGUUUCCUGACUCCACACCCAGUGUUCUUUCUGUGACAUCACAUGGGUAACUCAAAUUUGGUGUGAUCUGGCUCACCCACCUAGACUCUGAAACGAGGGUGUCUACACUUCUCAAAGUGUGCUCUGUGGAACACUAUGAGCUACCCUAUAAAAACAGGUUCUAAUUGGGUACCCAGGUACAUAAAGAUGGCAACAAUAGAAACUGGGGACUACUAGAGGAGGGAGGGAGAGAGGCGGGCAAGGGAUGAAAAACUAACUGCUGGGCACUACGCUCAGUACCUGGGUGAUGGGAUCAUUUGUACCCCAAACCUCGGCAUUAUGCAAUAUGCUCAGGUAACAACACUGCACAUGCACCCCCUCAAUCCAAAAUAAAAGUAAAACAAAAAAA
Long non-coding RNA from Homo sapiens (human), 2249 nucleotides. RefSeq annotates it as IGSF22 antisense RNA 1. The transcript has 3 exons. Lineage: Eukaryota; Metazoa; Chordata; Mammalia; Primates; Hominidae. The record is from RefSeq and is marked validated.